RNAcentral lists this ribosomal RNA (267 nucleotides) under uncultured bacterium. RNAcentral's name for it is "partial 16S ribosomal RNA". It matches the Rfam family "Bacterial small subunit ribosomal RNA", at positions 524 to 793 of the family's 1533-position model. The record is from RNAcentral.
UACGAAAGGGGCUAGCGUUGUUCGGAUUAUGGCGGUAAGGACGCGCAGGCGGUCUUGCCAGUCAGGGGUGAAAGCCCGAGGCUCAACCUCGGAACUGCCUCUGAUACUGUAAGACUUGAGACUAGGAGAGGGUGGUGGAAUUCCCAGUGUAGAGGUGAAAUUCGUAGAUAUUGGGAGGAACACCAGAGGCGAAGGCGGCCACCUGGACUAGAUCUGACGCUCAGGUGCGAAAGCGUGGGGAGCAAACAGGAUUAGAUACCCGGGUAC